RNAcentral lists this ribosomal RNA (468 nucleotides) under uncultured bacterium. Its description in RNAcentral is "partial 16S ribosomal RNA". It matches the Rfam family "Bacterial small subunit ribosomal RNA", at positions 28 to 507 of the family's 1533-position model. The record is from RNAcentral.
GACGAACGCUGGCGGCGUGCUUAACACAUGCAAGUCGAACGGAAAGGCCCUGCUUUUGUGGGGUGCUCGAGUGGCGAACGGGUGAGUAACACGUGAGUAACCUGCCCUUGACUUUGGGAUAACUUCAGGAAACUGGGGCUAAUACCGGAUAGGAGCUCCUGCUGUAUGGUGGGGGUUGGAAAGUUUCGGCGGUUGGGGAUGGACUCGCGGCUUAUCAGCUUGUUGGUGGGGUAGUGGCUUACCAAGGCUUUGACGGGUAGCCGGCCUGAGAGGGUGACCGGCCACAUUGGGACUGAGAUACGGCCCAGACUCCUACGGGAGGCAGCGGUGGAGAAGAUUGCACAAUGGGCGGAAGCCUGGUGCAGCAACGCCACGUGCGGGAUGACGGCCAGCGGGUUGUAAACCGCUUUCGCCUGUGACGAAACGUGAGUGACGGUAAUGGGUAAAGAAGCACCGGCUAACUACGUG